CCUGACAGAAAUUCAGAAGAACGGAGCUGCAUUCAGUUAGGACGUGAAGGCAUGAAAUGCCCGUUUGUCUCAGGACCUUGUAGAAGAAUGAGCUGGUAGCCACUUUCCGAGUCCUGCUGGAACCAGAGACCGAGGUUUCCAUCCUGUCAAUGCUGAUCUUUUUGGACCAAGCAGCACAAACCGAACCCAGAAUUGGAUGUGGACAGCUGUGGAGAAACCUGGCCUGUGGUCUUCAGUCUUCAGGAAGAACUGAAGUUCUUCUGAAUUUCCCAUCAAGAACCCCAUGAAAAAGCUGUUGUUUAACCACAGUAUGAAUGAACCCAAUAGGAAGGAAGAAUCCACCUAUGUCCCAUGUUUACUCACAUUUGGGUUUGAGUAACUGGGACACCAGAGCAUGAGUAGACAGAAAAACACCCUCUGCACCUUCGUGUCCUGGUUGUUAUCAGGGGGCACCAGGGAGGAAGUGGGGGUGGGAAUGGAGUGGGGUGAUAAUUGGGGCUGGAGGUGGUGUUUCAGUAAGGGUGGGAUUGGGGAGGGUGUGUGUCAGGAGAAGAAGGGGGUGAGGGACAGUACCAAGAUCAGAUCAAGUUCUUGAGUGGAGGAAGGGGGGUUCAGACAGGUUAGUUGGUCAGCAGGUCAACAAAUCACUAGGUGAGCAGGACACAAGUAGCAGCUGGAGCAGAGGAGGAUCCAUCUAUCUUCAAGCCUUCAACUCUCUGAGCAUUGCUUUAACAGCCUGUAACAUUUAUACUCUCUCUCUCUC
Molecule: long non-coding RNA, 763 nt
Organism: Acinonyx jubatus (cheetah)
Lineage: Eukaryota; Metazoa; Chordata; Mammalia; Carnivora; Felidae
Exons: 2
Source: RefSeq, a predicted model, not a curated record